CAUUUAAAUGUUGGCAGUGGAGGAAAGAGUAUAUUUCUUGAGAUCCUUGCCUACUGGAGGCCUUCCAAAGAAUUCUGCCAAGCUGAGUAUGGUCAGGCACCAGCAUCCAGCAAAGAGGAGGUAACCAGCAGCUGAAUGCAUGUGGAAAAUCUCCAGUACUUCAGUGAUGGAUCAUUUUUGUCAGCGGCCUUUUGACAUAAGUGCUACUGGAAGAACAACUUAGUAAAGAGACCAAAUACUUCAACAAAUCUGCAGCUAUCAUUAUCACUGGCCCAGUGUGUAAGAAACUAUUUGUAGGAAGACUGAACUUCCUGAGCUAUAUCCUAGUUCUCAGGAAGUUCUCAGGAAUUCUCAGGAGGACCACCCUGUCUGACAUAGUCUUUCUCUUUCUUUGACUCUAAUGUUGCAAAUCUAACUAUUUCGAUUUAAUGGUGGCUCUGUGCAUCUUGCUUUCUUUCUACACAGCUUUCCAGAACUGUUCUUUUCAGCUCCUCCAUGUGCGUAAUUUUAUCUCUGCUAAAGAUCUCCUCUAAGACACUGUUUUAUUAACAUGUCUGCCAAUUUCUCCAGAGGACCAUCUAUCCUCUUCUUCUGUUGAUGUUCAAUUAGGAUGGAGUGUAGAAAAGUAAUGAAAUAGUCCAUAUACACUGCAAAACUAUAAUGAAACUGCCAAAACACUGAGCCAGUGGCUUGUGGAACUUGCUAUCCAGAGAACAGUUCAAUCCUGAUGUUCAGCCACAGGGUGAAAUUCCUCCUGCCUUGGAUCACCUAUCUCUAACUGAGAGAUGUUUUAGGCCAGCAACAAUAUACCUCUGGACAUGUAAUGGGCUUUGAUAUUUCCAUUAACUUUCUCAACUGUCACACAGUAGUCCAAGCUCUUCUAGAGAUGUAAAAAUCCAUUCACAUAGGGGUAGAGAGGUGGAAAGACUGAGAAUAGUGUACUGGAGAUAUAUUUGUUUGCCCUCUGUAGAAUACUUUAUUAAAGAAGCGUUUGUAUGGACUUCAAAACACAGUAAGAUCAGGAAAUAUUGUGCCUCAGUUCUUAAAUAAAUUGUAAUGAUGUGCAAUUUAAUUACAAUGAAAUUUCUUCAGAAAUUGUGAAAUGAAUUUUUUUGUCCAAAAUGUAUCUCUUAAAACCCUGAGAUAUCUUCUAGACAGUUCUCUGUUUUAUAGGAAAACUGACUGACUUCUUUCUGUGGAUUAUCCCUGAUUUUCAUUCGUGCUUAUUUCCCUGUUUCAUAAAUUCUGUGGUUUUGGACACUAUUCCCUCUACCUUAGAUGUAAAACUUUCUUCUAUUAUCCAAAUUCACAGGAAUUAAUUUCAUCCCUAGAUGAAUUCCCUCAAGUUCCUUGGAAUUACUGUAUGAAUAAAGAUAAAUCUUUAUGCAAGUGUCCACAAGACUACUACAUUUUGCAUGUGUGAAAUGAACAUAUAUGUUAGUUUUGAUAUAUUACCUUUUGACGAGUCUUUGACAAACUAAAGAAGUAAAUGUUAAUUAUUCCUGGAAUAAAUACCGGAGCCUAAAGGUUUAUAACUAACUGUAUCCAAACAAUUCAAAAAAGUUUAUUCUUUUAUUUCUUUUUAUUAAAACACUUUCUGCUUGGUUGUUUGAUUGUAGAGAUCUUGGUCUGUUGUUUUUUUUUUAUUAGUUUUGGUUUUUCGUUUGUGUGUGUGCGUGUGUGUGUUUGUGUGGUUUUUGUCUUC
Molecule: non-coding RNA, 1705 nt
Organism: Meleagris gallopavo (turkey)
Lineage: Eukaryota; Metazoa; Chordata; Aves; Galliformes; Phasianidae
Source: RefSeq, a predicted model, not a curated record